RNAcentral lists this ribosomal RNA (253 nucleotides) under uncultured bacterium. RNAcentral describes it as "partial 16S ribosomal RNA". It matches the Rfam family "Bacterial small subunit ribosomal RNA", at positions 524 to 776 of the family's 1533-position model. The record is from RNAcentral.
UACAGAGGUCUCAAGCGUUGUUCGGAUUCAUUGGGCGUAAAGGGUGCGUAGGCGGCGCGGUAAGUCGGGUGUGAAAUCUUGGAGCUUAACUCCGAAACUGCAUUCGAUACUGCCGUGCUUGAGGACUGGAGAGGAGACUGGAAUUUACGGUGUAGCGGUGAAAUGCGUAGAUAUCGUAAGGAAGACCAAUGGCGAAGGCGGGUCUCUGGACAGUUCCUGACGCUGAGGCACGAAGGCCAGGGGAGCAAACGGG